RNAcentral lists this long non-coding RNA (758 nucleotides) under Vulpes vulpes (red fox). Its description in RNAcentral is "lncRNA (ENSVVUG00000024502.1)". Lineage: Eukaryota; Metazoa; Chordata; Mammalia; Carnivora; Canidae. The record is from RNAcentral.
CUCUGCCGGGGCCGCGGACACCGCCGCUUAGCGGCCGGGCGGGGCGCUGGCCGUGUCGCCUGGCCCUGCCGGAGCCCGCGUGGGCCCGGGACACGCGUGAUUACAGACAGGCCGUUGAGCGCGUGCCCGGCGGCUGCGGGGCUGCCGUUCGCCACGAGCGCAGGGCCGGUGGAAUCGGAGAACGGCCCCGUGCCGCCCGGUCAACAAGCCACAUUGUUUGUGCAAAUGGUUUUGGCCCACUGAGACACCUUUAUCACGUGGUGGGAACUCUCUGGACACCCACAUUCCCAGACACCAGUGUACUUCAUGAGGUUCUGAGCAGAGCAGUCAGGACUUGUGUCAACCCUCUUCCACAACACAGACCAACGUCACCAGCUCGGGUUCCGGGUGCACGUGACUUUCGGGGAGCCGCUGCAGAUCCCAGCGGUCGGGGCCCAGGGUACGGAAGGUGGAACCCGGACUCGCACCAUCUCGCGGGCGGUUCCCCGCACCUAGGACUCUCCCUUCAGGAAACCCCCAAAAUAUGCUGCCAGGAAGGGGGGUACGAUUUUUGCCACCGCGUGGGGGAGCGAAGAGGCUCCAGCUUGUAUUUCUGCCCCGGAGCCCGCAAGACACAAAGGAGAGGGUGCGCCCAGGCUGAGCCCGGGCACCCAGGAGCCGGCCAGGGCCGCGUCGCAGGUGGCCCGUCGGGGUCCCCACCCUCAGGAGGACUGCUGUGGCUCUGUCACCACCAUCUUGAAAUCCUUCAUAUUUUCUGA